This 226-nucleotide long non-coding RNA is filed under the name Phoenix dactylifera (date palm). RNAcentral describes it as "long non-coding RNA (PDAC_LNC017843)". The record is from RNAcentral. Lineage: Eukaryota; Viridiplantae; Streptophyta; Magnoliopsida; Arecales; Arecaceae.
AGUUUAGAGCACCACAUCCAUCAGUCAAAUUUUGCAGGUGUAGGUUAUGCGCAUGCAUGCAUCUAUCAUUAUACCAAUCACAAGCAGAGACGAUCAAAAUACAAUUUAAAUAUAAAAACCAUUUUGUUUUGCCUGGAUCAUAGCAUUUCAAACAUAUAAAUAUAUAGUGCAAAAUAUUUAUAUCAUGUAGGAUUGGCGUACAAGGAUUCUUACCUUUUGUUGAAAA